GGUUAAGUUAAUAAGGGCGCACGGUGGAUGCCUUGGCACUAGAAGCCGAUGAAGGACGUGACUAACGAC
Molecule: ribosomal RNA, 69 nt
Filed under: Streptococcus infantarius
Lineage: Bacteria; Bacillati; Bacillota; Bacilli; Lactobacillales; Streptococcaceae
Description: partial 23S ribosomal RNA
Source: RNAcentral